Molecule: transfer RNA, 68 nt
Filed under: Alviniconcha marisindica
Lineage: Eukaryota; Metazoa; Mollusca; Gastropoda; Provannidae
Description: tRNA-Ala
Source: RNAcentral
GACUUUGUACUUUAAAAUAAAAGAUCUGAUUUGCAUUCAGAAAAUAAGUUUUUCUAACUUCAAGGUCA